GGCACUGGGCAGCACUGGUUGCCGCAGGGCAGCCCCCCCCCCAGCAGCCGCCCCCGCCGCAGCGUGUCUGGUCGGUGACUCACGGCCGGGCCGGGGGCCACACGUGUGCCGAGCGCGGGGCUCAGCACGGCCACGUGGCCCAACCCGGUCACCGUGGGGCCCGGGGAGCCUGCGGGAUCCUGCCGGGGCCUGGCGCGGUGCUGGGCCGGUAGGAACGGGGCACGCGGUGCCGUGAGGCCUGUCCGAAGUGGCUCUGGGUGACGGGGACAGCCCGGUGCCACACGCUCGGUGGCCUUGGCGUGGCCGUGCCGUGCCCGUGCGGUGCCGGUGCUGGGUCCCGUGCCGGUGCCGCGCUGGUUCCUGCACAGAGCUGGUGCCGAGGCAGUGCCAGGGCCAACCGGUGCUGGUGCUGCACGGUGCCAACACCGGUGCCGAGGCAGCACGGCUCCUGCGUGGUGCCAGUGCCAUGCCGUGCCAACGGUGUGAGUGCCGGCUGUGGGGCCAGGAGGUGCCAAUACGGUGCCGGUGCCGGUGCCGUGCGGAGCCAAAGCAGUGCCGUGCCCACGCAGUGCCAGUGCCGGUGCCACACAGUGCCAGUGCCGUGCCAAUGCGGUGCCAACUCCGUGCUGGUGCUGUGUGGUGCCGGUGUGGUGCCGUGCCGUCCCAGCGCGGUGCCGGUGCCGUUCCCGUGCCAAGGUGAUGCCAACACGGUGCCGGUGCCGUGCCAACGCAGUGCCAACUCAGUGCCAACGAGGUGCUGUUGCCAUUCCCGUGCCAUGCUGUGCCGUGCCAACGCGGUGCCGGUGCCAUUCCCGUGCCAAGGUGAUGCCAACGCGGUGCCGGUGCCGGUGCCAUCCCCGUGCCAACGCGGUGCCAACGCGGUGCCGGUGCCGUUCCCGCCCCCCCCCCCAACCCUCCCCAAAUCCCCUCCCGGUGCCGCCCCCAGCCCGCCCCCGCCCCUCCCCUGCCCUCCCCCGGUGCUCGGCGGGGCCGUGCCGGUGCUCGGCGGCGGCGGCGGCGGCGAUGGCGCUGUCGGGGCCGCCCCGUUCCUGCCUCCUGCUGGCGGCCGCGCUGCUGCUGCCGCUGCCCGGGGCCGCCCCGGACCCCGCCGCGCCCGCGCUCACCGACGCCGAGAUCGAGGCGUUCCUCAGGGGCUUCCUCGGGCCCGACGGGGACCGCGACGGCGACGGCGACGGGGACGGGGACGGGGAUGGCACCGAGCCGGGCUUCGCCACCGAGCAGGGCACCGGCACCGGGCUGAGCACCGGUGAGGGGGGGGGCUGCUGGGGCUGCCCGGUACCGGGAGGGAGCGGGAUUGGGGAGGGAUUGGGGAGGGGGAGGCACGGGGGGCGCAGUGAUGGGGGGCACUGGGGGGUGCUGGGCUGGGGGUGCUGGGUUGGGAGUGCCCGGCCGGGGCUGUCCUGUCCCUACCCACUCCCCCCGACACGACCCGGCCCCCCCCAGACCCUCCGGGGCGGCUGCCGGAGCCCGAGGCACCCAAGAAGGGCCGGAAGGAAAAAGCCCCAAAACCCACCAAAAAGCCCAAGGAGAGAGCACGGGGCUCCAAAAAGGACAAGGACAGGGACAGGGACAAGGAGCGGGACAAGAGCAGGGACAAGAGCAAGGACGGGGACAAGCCCCCCAAGAAGCCCAAGGAGAAGACCCCAAAAGGCUCCGAGAAACCCCCAAAAGGCUCCGAGAAACCCCCAAAAGGAUCCAAGAAGCCCAAGGAGAAGCCGCCCAAGGAGAAGCCACCCAAGGAGAAGCCACCCAAGGCCACCAAGAAGCCCUCGGGCACGAGGCCCCCGGAGCCACCGGACACCCCCUGGGAGCCCCCCGUGGCCCCGCACCCCCCGCGGGGCGAGGACAGAGAGGGGACGUCCCUGUCCCCAGGGCAGCCGCGGGUCCCUGAGGAGGAGGAGGAGGAUGGCAGAGACCGAGAGGUCCCCGCGGAGCCGGAGCCGCCGACGCUGGACUACAACGAGCAGCUGGAGCGGGAGGACUACGAGGACUGUACGGUGCCGGGGGGGGCAGGCGGGGACCGAUGGGGUCCCCUGG
RNAcentral lists this long non-coding RNA (2058 nucleotides) under Anas platyrhynchos platyrhynchos (common mallard). Its description in RNAcentral is "lncRNA (ENSAPLG00000024324.1)". The record is from RNAcentral. Lineage: Eukaryota; Metazoa; Chordata; Aves; Anseriformes; Anatidae.